CCAAACCCUACGUGAACUUACCGUCGUUGCCUCGGCGGGCCGCGCUUACCCGGUAGCUACCCCGUAGCUACCCGGUAGGUGCGCUUAUAGGCCCGCCGGUGGACCACUAAACUCUGUUUUAAUACUGUAUCUCUGAAUGCUUCAACUUAAUAAGUUAAAACUUUCAACAACGGAUCUCUUGGUUCUGGCAUCGAUGAAGAACGCAGCGAAAUGCGAUAACUAAUGUGAAUUGCAGAAUUCAGUGAAUCAUCGAAUCUUUGAACGCACAUUGCGCCCAUUAGUAUUCUAGUGGGCAUGCCUAUUCGAGCGUCAUUUCAACCCUUAAGCCUAGCUGCUUAGUGUUGGGAAUCUGCCCCGUAGUUACGGGGCAGCUCCCUAAAGCCAUCGGCGGAGUUGGGGCAUACUCUAAGCGUAGUAACAUUCUUCUCGCUUCUGCAGUUGUCCUGGCGGCUUGCCGUUAAACCCCCCUAUAUUUUUCUAGUGGUUGACCUCGGAUUAGGUAGGAAUACCCGCUGAACUUAAGCAUAUCAAUAAGCGGAG
RNAcentral lists this ribosomal RNA (540 nucleotides) under uncultured Daldinia. RNAcentral's name for it is "eukaryotic LSU rRNA". The stretch from base 159 to 312 matches the Rfam family "5.8S ribosomal RNA". Lineage: Eukaryota; Fungi; Ascomycota; Sordariomycetes; Xylariales; Xylariaceae. The record is from RNAcentral.